Molecule: ribosomal RNA, 253 nt
Filed under: uncultured bacterium
Lineage: Bacteria
Description: partial 16S ribosomal RNA
Rfam family: Bacterial small subunit ribosomal RNA
Source: RNAcentral
UACGGAGGGUGCAAGCGUUAAUCGGAAUUAUUGGGCGUAAAGGGUGCGCAGGCGGACACAUAAGUCGGGUGUGAAAUCCCGAGGCUCAACCUCGGAACGGCACUCGAAACUGCGUUUCUAGAGGAUAGAAGGAGAAAAUGGAAUUCCACAAGUAGCAGUGAAAUGCGUAGAUAUGUGGAAGAACACCGGUGGCGAAGGCGGUUUUCUAGUCUAUUACUGACGCUCAGGCACGAAAGUUAGGGGAUCAAACAGG